Molecule: long non-coding RNA, 529 nt
Organism: Ictalurus punctatus (channel catfish)
Lineage: Eukaryota; Metazoa; Chordata; Actinopteri; Siluriformes; Ictaluridae
Source: Ensembl
AUUUUUGUUGACCCUAUGUAAGGCAGACAUUAUUCUCCAAGGCAAUACAUUAAUGCAGUUAUCUCUCAAAGAUGCAUCCACCAACCCCCAUGGAUACAGGAAGCAUAGUCAGGGGAUCCACGAUUUGUUAAAAAGGACCAUUCUUAGAUGAAUACACAGUGGGAGUGCUUGGGAGGGAUGCUAGGUGAUUUACUCUUUCAAGCAGAUGGCCGCAGAGGGAGAAGACUAAGAAUGGACUACAUUGACUCUAAAAUGCUGAAUAAGAGGCUGCCACAUGCUGCCUAUUUGUUCUGCAAGCCACGGAGUGGGAGGAGAACUGUGUUAUUCCCCUCCUCUUACUGUAACAGGCCCUUACAGGUGGGGUUCCCACUAUACUGCAUUCAAGGGUGAGUAAUGAUCUGAAAUUAAAAAGAAAAUCUGUGACUGAUUGCUGUUUACACAAUUACAUACCAGCACCAGUAUGGAGGAGCAUUACAUCAUUGCCACUAAUCAUGCAUAAGACAUCAUAAAUGCAUUUAUUCCUUUCUUG